UCUGUCUCUCUCUCCCCGAGUAAUUCGACGGGGUAGCAUGGCUCUUCUUGUGUUCCGCUGCUGGGGUUUGCCGGAGGGGGAGAAAAAGGUUGGCGCAGGGCAUGCCGUGAGAGAAGCAGGCGCGUGCCUGCAAAGGGAGACAUGGUGGUCGAGUGGGCGGUGGUGGAGCGAAGGAGGCUGGAUAACAUAUUUGGUGCGGAAGAACUUGUGUUGAGUGAUUGCCAGGUGAAACCCACUCACAUGUGAAGGAGCUGACUCUACCAUUCAGGCGGCACUUCAGUUUUUCUUCAGGUGCUGAUGCUGCCAAAAAAAACCACACAUGUCAGAAAACGGCUACUUAUUCUCCAGCUUUAGGUAAACACCAGUGGAGGAGCAGAGCUCGGGUAUUGCAGCAAGAACAAUGUCAUUGCAGUCCAGUUUGUGAUUUUUGUUUUGAUGGAAUUCAGAUUUCAAUAGAAUAAUUUCAUUACCGUUGAAACAAGAUGAAUAAAAAUGUGAUGCUCAGACCUAA
Molecule: long non-coding RNA, 511 nt
Organism: Hemicordylus capensis (graceful crag lizard)
Lineage: Eukaryota; Metazoa; Chordata; Lepidosauria; Squamata; Cordylidae
Exons: 4
Source: RefSeq, a predicted model, not a curated record